AUCCUUUUGUGGUUCAUAAGUGUGAAAAUUGGGUUUUCACACUAAUAUUUGAGAUUUGCCUCAGUCAAACCUUGCUACCACACUGUCACGUUACCCAUCUGGCC
Lemur catta (Ring-tailed lemur) is the source of this 104-nucleotide small nucleolar RNA. RefSeq annotates it as small nucleolar RNA U13. The transcript has a single exon. NCBI's taxonomy places the organism in Eukaryota, Metazoa, Chordata, Mammalia, Primates, Lemuridae. The record is from RefSeq and is a predicted model, not a curated record.